UUGAUGGUAAAAAAAAAUCCG
This 21-nucleotide non-coding RNA is filed under the name Caenorhabditis elegans. Lineage: Eukaryota; Metazoa; Nematoda; Chromadorea; Rhabditida; Rhabditidae. The record is from RNAcentral.